AGUGGCGGACGGGUGAGUAACGCGUGGGCGACCUGCCCCAUACGGGGGGAUAACAGCCGGAAACGGCUGCUAAAACCGCAUAAGCGCACAAGGGCCGCAUGGCCUGGUGUGAAAAACUCCGGUGGUAUGGGAUGGGCCCGCGUCUGAUUAGCUAGUUGGCGGGGGAGAGGCCCACCAAGGCGACGAUCAGUAGCCGACCUGAGAGGGUGGCCGGCCACAUUGGGACUGAGACACGGCCCGAACUCCUACGGAAGGCAGCAG
RNAcentral lists this ribosomal RNA (261 nucleotides) under uncultured bacterium. RNAcentral's name for it is "partial 16S ribosomal RNA". It matches the Rfam family "Bacterial small subunit ribosomal RNA", at positions 94 to 354 of the family's 1533-position model. The record is from RNAcentral.